UACGUAGGUGGCAAGCGUUGUCCGGAAUUACUGGGCGUAAAGGGCGCGUAGGCGGCCUACUAAGUCGGACGUGAAAUCCCUCGGCUCAACCGGGGAACUGCGUCCGAUACUGGUGGGCUCGAAUCCGGGAGAGGGAUGUGGAAUUCCAGGUGUAGCGGUGAAAUGCGUAGAUAUCUGGAGGAACACCGGUGGCGAAGGCGGCAUCCUGGACCGGUAUUGACGCUGAUGCGCGAAAGCCAGGGGAGCAAACGGG
Molecule: ribosomal RNA, 253 nt
Filed under: uncultured bacterium
Lineage: Bacteria
Description: partial 16S ribosomal RNA
Rfam family: Bacterial small subunit ribosomal RNA
Source: RNAcentral